AUUCUACCCAUGUGGGGAAGGAUGAGAAGCUUCGACUAAGGUUCGAUUCGAGCGAAAGCGAGAAAGCGUUGCCGCAGGCAACGACCCGAAGGGCGAAGCGCGCAGCGCUGAGUCAUUCUUCCCCCCUCAUCC
RNAcentral lists this small RNA (132 nucleotides) under Salmonella enterica. Its description in RNAcentral is "RtT sRNA". It matches the Rfam family "RtT RNA". From Rfam's summary of the family: This family represents a bacterial cis-regulatory element known as RtT RNA. The exact function of RtT is unknown although it is thought that it may be involved in changing the cellular response in relation to amino acid starvation. Lineage: Bacteria; Pseudomonadati; Pseudomonadota; Gammaproteobacteria; Enterobacterales; Enterobacteriaceae. The record is from RNAcentral. RNAcentral also lists the same sequence under 2 other names.